RNAcentral lists this ribosomal RNA (483 nucleotides) under uncultured bacterium. RNAcentral describes it as "bacterial SSU rRNA". It matches the Rfam family "Bacterial small subunit ribosomal RNA", at positions 29 to 507 of the family's 1533-position model. The record is from RNAcentral.
AUGAACGCUAGCGGCAGGCUUAACACAUGCAAGUCGAGGGGCAGCGAGGGUAGCAAUACCUGUCGGCGACCGGCGGAAGGGUGAGUAACGCGUGAGCAACAUACCCGUAUCAGUGGGAUAAUACAGGGAAACUUGUUCUAAUAUCGCAUAAUAUUAUUCAGAGGCAUCUUUGGAUAAUUAAAGUUACGGCGGAUACGGAAUGGCUCGCGUGACAUUAGCUAGAUGGUAGGGUAAUGGCCUACCAUGGCGAUGAUGUCUAGGGGUUCUGAGAGGGAGGUCCCCCACACUGGAACUGAGACACGGUCCAGACUCCUACGGGAGGCAGCAGUGAGGAAUAUUGGACAAUGGAUGGAAAUCUGAUCCAGCCAUGCCGCGUGCAGGAAGGCGGCCCUAUGGGUUGUAAACUGCUUUUGUACGGGAGCAAUAAGGUCUACGAGUAGAUUGAUGAGAGUACUGUACGAAUAAGCAUCGGCUAACUCCGUG